GCCGGGUGUGGUGGCGUGCACCUGUAAUCCCAGCUACUUGGGAGGCUGAGGCAGGAGAAUUGCUUGAACCCAGGAGGCAGAGGUUGCAGUGAGUGGAGAUCACCCCACUGCGCUCCAGCCUGGGUGACAGAGCAAGACUGCGUCUCAA
Molecule: small RNA, 148 nt
Filed under: Macaca fascicularis (crab-eating macaque)
Lineage: Eukaryota; Metazoa; Chordata; Mammalia; Primates; Cercopithecidae
Description: Metazoan signal recognition particle RNA (ENSMFAG00000057673.1)
Source: Rfam by way of RNAcentral